GACUGUCUUCUCGAACUAUGUUCUCGACUGGAUUCUCCUCAGCCCACACGGCAGCAUCCAAGUAUCCUAGCGCAAAGAGCCUGUCAAGAAUAACAUCUGCGGCUGGCUCCAAUGCCCAAUUGAAAAGCUCUCUUGGGCUAGCUCUAUUUUCAGGAUUGCAGUCUGGACUAAUUCCAAUUCCUUCCAACCCCAAUCGACUGGCUGGGAAAGCACAAACACGAACUGUCUGAGCAGCAGAUGUUGGCGGCAUAAACAAUGUCAGCCCUCCAUCAAUGCAAAGUCUAUUUCGGAACACUGUGGCAGGUCUUGGUGCAAGAUAUCCUGGAAUAAAGGAAGAAGUGAAAACUGCAUUUAUGAGAUCUUCCUUGGAGUCAAAUUGAUCCACUAGUAAGCCCCUGGGUCUCCACAAAAUCUGAGUUACAGCAACACGGACCCUCCCAUUUGACCUAAUAUGAACAUCAUCUGGCAGAAACUUUUCAAGAACAUCCCGAAGAACAGCCCCAAGUCGAAAUGCAGUCCCUCUUAGCCGGCAGUCUUCAGCCAGUAAUUUGGUAGCUUGUAGAGCCUCUUGCAUACUAGCUCCAGAAGCAAUUACUGCACAGACUAUGGCACCGGCAGAGGAACCAGCCAAAGGUGUGGUUUCCUUAAUGUAGCCCUUCUCAAUUAGCAAUUGAGCAACGCCAAGAUGAUAAGGAAACAACAAU
This 704-nucleotide unclassified non-coding RNA is filed under the name Hevea brasiliensis (rubber tree). The record is from RNAcentral. Lineage: Eukaryota; Viridiplantae; Streptophyta; Magnoliopsida; Malpighiales; Euphorbiaceae.